UAAGUGUUGAACUUGCACCACGCGAUGAAAGGGUGACACCAUUAUUACAAAUAGAAAUGGAGCCUCUAGCCUAAGGUGAUGGAUGGAUAGAGUGCACGUUCUAUAAGAGGACAUAUGGAGAUGGAAUGGAUGGAAGAUUCUCGUUGGAAUAUAGCUAGAUUUUUCGAUUUCAGUGGCCGGAACCAACUCCCGGAUUGCCUCCCAGCUCCAGCGUCUGCAGCACCGAACGAGAACAACCGCAGCACCGGACGGACUCCAUUGUCUCCCAGCUACAGCACCGACGGACGCAACCCCGUGAGAAUAAAAGGACCGUCGUGAAGGGCAGCACCGAAUGGAGCUUUUGGUUUUGGUACCGGACGGGAUUCAAGCACCGGACGAUUUGGAGCUGCAGCACCGAAUGAUUAUCUGAGCACCGAUAAAUCCUAGGCCAUCGUGCUCCUCUGUUUCUCUUUUUUUGUUUUUUUAUGCAUUUUCUAGAAAACAAGAACGGACUGGAUGGGAUUUUUCUUCUUUGAUGUUUGAACUCCAUUUUUUUUUUUUUUUUUUGAGAAUUCUCAAUGGUUGAUUGAAUUUCUGGAAUUUGAUUUUGGUGUAUUGAUUUGAUAAAAUUCUGAUGAACCACUCCGAGAAAUAUUGUUGCUG
Long non-coding RNA from Carya illinoinensis, 642 nucleotides. RefSeq lists it as uncharacterized. The transcript is spliced from 3 exons. NCBI's taxonomy places the organism in Eukaryota, Viridiplantae, Streptophyta, Magnoliopsida, Fagales, Juglandaceae. The record is from RefSeq and is a predicted model, not a curated record.